Molecule: ribosomal RNA, 280 nt
Filed under: uncultured cyanobacterium
Lineage: Bacteria; Bacillati; Cyanobacteriota
Description: partial 16S ribosomal RNA
Rfam family: Bacterial small subunit ribosomal RNA
Source: RNAcentral
CCUACGGGGGGCAGCAGUGGGGAAUUUUCCGCAAUGGGCGAAAGCCUGACGGAGCAACGCCGCGUGAGGGAUGAAGGCCUCUGGGCUGUAAACCUCUUUUCUCAAGGAAGAAGAUCUGACGGUACUUGAGGAAUAAGCCACGGCUAAUUCCGUGCCAGCAGCCGCGGUAAUACGGGAGUGGCAAGCGUUAUCCGGAAUUAUUGGGCGUAAAGCGUCCGCAGGCGGCCUUGUAAGUCUGUCGUUAAAGCGUGGAGCUUAACUCCAUUUCAGCGGUGGAAAC